Molecule: ribosomal RNA, 253 nt
Filed under: uncultured bacterium
Lineage: Bacteria
Description: partial 16S ribosomal RNA
Rfam family: Bacterial small subunit ribosomal RNA
Source: RNAcentral
UACGUAGGGUGCAAGCGUUGUCCGGAAUCAUUGGGCGUAAAGCGCGCGUAGGCGGCCCGAUAAGUCUGCUGUAAAAGUCAACGGCUCAACUGUUGAAAGCCGGUGGAUACUGUCGGGCUAGAGUACGGAAGAGGCAAGUGGAAUUCCUGGUGUAGCGGUGGAAUGCGCAGAUAUCAGGAGGAACACCUAUAGCGAAGGCAGCUUGCUGGGACGUUACUGACGCUAAGGCGCGAAAGCGUGGGGAGCGAACAGG